Molecule: long non-coding RNA, 1525 nt
Filed under: Sus scrofa (pig)
Lineage: Eukaryota; Metazoa; Chordata; Mammalia; Artiodactyla; Suidae
Description: lncRNA (ENSSSCG00040075707.1)
Source: RNAcentral
CCCGCUCAGGAGCGCGGGCCUUGCGCCAAGAGCCUGCGCAGCCCACCCUGCAAAAUGGCGGCAGCAACUCUUAGCUGGGUUUUUAAUCCUGGGUGGGCCUGAGAAGCUUUUAACUACAUCAGAAAUGGAAGCUUUAACUUAAAUUGACCCAGACUUUUGGCACCUAAAAAUGGGACUAUUCUAAUACCUUGAAAGUGACAGAAGCGCCAAGCAACGCUCAACACACUGCGUGGAUGGAGAAGGGAGAAUUGACAAGGUAAAGUUUAAGUUUAAAGAAAGAAAAAGCUGUUUGCUUCUUUUCUCCUACCAAGUCAGGCCUGCGAAAUAUGCCACAUUCACACAAGAACCCCAAGUCAAACUCAAACUAGAUGGAAAAAAAAAAAAGAGGCAAGGCUGAUGAGACUCGGUGGUGAAGUGCAUUGCCAGGGCCACAUGACUCUGAAAUUCUCUCAACUCCACCCUCCCUGGCUCUGUUCCUGGUUUGAAUUCCCUCAUAGAACCAACAUGCAUAUUCUUUCUCUUCAUUUCCAAGGGCUGAAGGGUAAGGGGUGGGGGUAGGAGACCUGUCUUUCUUCAAACUGUCAAAGAAAAGUCCAGAGAUUCUCCUGAUUGGAUUACCUUUGGUCAAGGUUCCCUCAGUGCUCCCCAUCUAUGUCCUGGGAAAUACUACUAGGUUCCUUGUUCUUCUGUCAUCCAGUCCCUGAGGGAGGGGAAGGGGGAUUACAGCAAAGGAUUUAGGCCACUCAGGGCACAUCCUGGAACUGAAGAAAAAGUCAGUCCUCCUCAAGUCAUGUGACUGGAAAGUUCAGGAUCCUCUAGGACCUGGAGUAGAUGUUGGGGAGAUAACUUCAGGGUGUGUCUUAUCUCAUUUUUUUUGUUGUUUUUGUUUGUUUGGUUUUUUUGCCAUUUCUUGGGCCACUCCCACAGUAUAUGGAGGUUCCCAGGCUGGGGGUCUAAUCGGAGCUGUAGCCACCGGCCUACGCCAGAGCUACAGCAAUGUGGGAUCUGAGCCUCGUCUGCGACCUACACCACAGCUCACGGCAAUGCCGGAUCCUUAACCCACUGAGCAAGGGCAGGGAUCGAACCCGCAACCUCAUGGUUCCUAGUCGGAUUCGUUAACCACUGCGCCACAACGGGAACUCCCAGAAACCAGUUUUUAAGUAUUUUCUAGGACUCCCUGGUGGUCUAGUGGGUUAAGGGCCCAGUGUUGUCACUGCUGUGGUUGGGGUCACUGGUGUGGUGCAGGUUUGAUGCCUGGCCUGGGAAUGUUCACAUGCUGUAGGCGUGGCCAAGUAAAUAAAUGAAAUACUUUCUAGGGAGUUCCUACUGUGGCUUAGUGGGUUAAGAACCCAACUAGUAUCCACAAGGAUGCAGGUUCGAUCCCUGGCCUUGAUCGGUAGGUUAAGGAUCCAGCAUUGCUCCGAGCUGUGAUGUAGGUUGCAGAUGCAGCUUGGAUCUCAUGUUACUGUGGCUGUGGCAUACACCUGCAGCUGCAGCUCCAGUUCAACCCCUAGCCUGGGAACUU